RNAcentral lists this ribosomal RNA (155 nucleotides) under Kryptoperidinium triquetrum. Its description in RNAcentral is "Heterocapsa triquetra partial Bacterial small subunit ribosomal RNA". Lineage: Eukaryota; Dinophyceae; Peridiniales; Kryptoperidiniaceae. The record is from RNAcentral.
GGCUUCGCCACAGCGCUGCUGGCCACCUCGUUCAACUUCUAUGUGCACUGCUUCCUGCGGCUCUUGAAUGGUGCAGCCCUGAGCGCCGUCAUGCCCAUCGCCCAGACGAUCCUCUGUGAGAUUGUGCCGGAGACGCGACGCGGCGCAGCCUUCGG